This 266-nucleotide ribosomal RNA is filed under the name uncultured bacterium. Its description in RNAcentral is "partial 16S ribosomal RNA". It matches the Rfam family "Bacterial small subunit ribosomal RNA", at positions 92 to 354 of the family's 1533-position model. The record is from RNAcentral.
CGACCGGCGCACGGGUGAGUAACGCGUAUGCGACCUGCCCGUUGCAGGGGGAUAAUCGGGAGAAAUCCCGUCUAAUACCGCGUAACGCCGCGGGGCUGCAUGGCCCUGCGGCCAAAGGGAGCGAUUCCGGCAACGGAUGGGCAUGCGUGACAUUAGCUAGUUGGCGGGGCAACGGCCCACCAAGACAACGAUGGAUAGGGGUUCUGAGAGGAAGGUCCCCCACAUUGGAACUGAGACACGGUCCAAACUCCUACGGAAGGCAGCAG